This 253-nucleotide ribosomal RNA is filed under the name uncultured bacterium. Its description in RNAcentral is "partial 16S ribosomal RNA". It matches the Rfam family "Bacterial small subunit ribosomal RNA", at positions 524 to 776 of the family's 1533-position model. The record is from RNAcentral.
UACGUAGGGUGCAAGCGUUGUCCGGAAUUAUUGGGCGUAAAGAGCUCGUAGGCGGUUUGUCGCGUCUGCUGUGAAAACUCGGGGCUUAACUCCGGGCCUGCAGUGGGUACGGGCAGACUAGAGUGCGGUAGGGGAGACUGGAAUUCCUGGUGUAGCGGUGAAAUGCGCAGAUAUCAGGAGGAACACGGGUGGCGAAGGCGGGACUCUGGGCCGAUACUGACGCUGAGGAGCGAAAGCGUGGGGAGCAAACAGG